GACAACAUGGCGGAGUGGUUAACGCGGUGCCCUGCUAUAAGUUGAAAGGCAUUUCCCUCUGGGAGCGCAGGUUCAAAUCCUGCUGUUGUCG
Non-coding RNA from Fimicolochytrium jonesii, 91 nucleotides. The record is from the annotation of a RefSeq genome assembly. NCBI's taxonomy places the organism in Eukaryota, Fungi, Chytridiomycota, Chytridiomycetes, Spizellomycetales, Powellomycetaceae.